This is a non-coding RNA of Pseudomonas sp. BRH_c35, 88 nucleotides long. The record is from Rfam. Lineage: Bacteria; Pseudomonadati; Pseudomonadota; Gammaproteobacteria; Pseudomonadales; Pseudomonadaceae.
GAACCAGGGGGUCGGGUUGUUCUGCAUCGCGGAGUGACCUAGGGGUACAGGGAGUACCUCCUUCAUAUAGGACCGGGUUCUGUGAAGC